This is a long non-coding RNA of Nothobranchius furzeri (turquoise killifish), 3539 nucleotides long. The record is from Ensembl. Lineage: Eukaryota; Metazoa; Chordata; Actinopteri; Cyprinodontiformes; Nothobranchiidae.
AUGACGACCUGGUGGACACGACUCAGACUCGUCCUCUCAGCUGAGAGCUCCCGGGGGGUUUCGUGCCUGUCUGGUCUCAGAUCAGAUCCUCGAGGGAGCCGACUGAGUAAACAGAGAAGUCCAGGAAGGCAGGAGGAGAAAGACGGAUGCUGGUGGGGAGGGUCCAGAGAAAUCCUUCACCCUCAGCAUGCGAGUCAUCUGAUCUGUGAGAACAUGCAGCUUCAGCAGCUGAGCCCUGCAGGACACCAGUGGGUUUCUGCUCCACCUCGGCUCCUCCUGACACGGCUGAACCAGACUGAACCAAGGUGGAUGGCCCUCUCUGAAGGUCCAGCCUGGGCCCUGGUAAGAGACCUGGUCCGGGUCACAGGGACAGCAGCUCCAGCACGACGUCAAACCAACCCCAGAUCCACCGGUGGGAUCGCCAGGCCUUCCUUGGCCAGUGUACCAGGACUGAUAAGGUCCUGAAGCCUCAGAACCAGCCCAGCCCAGACCAUGAGACCUCCACCUCCGUGCUGACAGCUGGGAUUAGCGGCUCAGGUCCUCUCAAUCAUCCGCAUCAGCUGGAGUUCACAGCAACACAAACUGUAUUGCAGCGUUUAUGAGAAGCAUGGACCGAGACCAAAACUUGGUCCAAGUCAGCGUCUCCUAUUUGAGUUCCCAUUUCCAUGGCAACGGUGAAAGGUUUAAGAUGACAUCACUUGAAGGAGAGAUGAUUGUGUGUAAUUAGUUGGUGAUUAUCGUCAUUAACCCAGGUGUGUUUUCUCAGUGACACAGUUCUGAAGGAACAAGGGGGUGAGGGAUUAGGAUGGACCUGUUGCUAUAGCAACUGAAACAGUAGACUGAACGCGACCAGGUGAGAGGUCAGGAUGAAACAGAUCCUGUGAUCUAAAACCUGAUUUCUAACCGCUGAUGCGGAUCAAACAUCCAAGACAACAUAUAACCCUGACUCAAACACCUGUCAGGUAAAUGAUCUGGACACUAAAUCAUCGUUCGUCUGAUUCGUUUUGCAGCAACAACAGAAAACGAGACAAAAAUAAAAACAGUGACUGAAGGAAUUCCUGAUUGAGUUGAUCUUUAUCUAAUCUGAUGGAGAGGAUCUGUCCACGUCGUCUCUGGUACCGACCCGCAGAGAACGGGUCAGCGAGACAAAACCAGAGUUUAUUUUAAAACCAGAGGAGGUGAGAUGUGACUGCUCCCUCAGGUAAUGAGCUGAUGAUGUCACAGCAGCUGAUGGUCCUGAUUGGGUGAGAGGUUCCCAGCAGCAGAUAUAAAAAGAAGGAAAACCAGGAAACCUGGAGAGGAAAGUCCAGACAGAAGGUACUGUGUGUGUGUGUGUGUGUGUGUGUGUUUCCAUAUGUGUGUGUGAGUGAGAGUGUGUGUGUGUAUGUAUAUAUAUAUAUAUAUAUGUGCAUGUGUGUGUGUGUAUAUAUGUGUGUGUUUCCAUAUGUGUGUGUGUGUGUGAGUGCGUGUGUGUAUAUGUGUGUGUGUGUGUGUGUAUUUGUGAGUGUGUGUAUAUAUGUGUGUGUGUUUGUGUGUGUAUAUAUGUGUGUGUGUGUGUGUGUGUGAGUGAGUGUGUGUGUGUAUAUAUAUGUGUGUGUUUCCAUGUGUGUGUGUGUUUGUGUGUGUAUAUGUGUGUGUCAGUGUGUGUGUUUGUGAAUGUGUGUGUAUAUAUGUGUGUGUGUGAGUGGGUAUGUGUGUGCGUGUGUGCAUGUGUGUUUCCAUGUGUGUGCGUGUGUGCAUGUGUGUUUCCAUGUGUGUGUGUGUUUCCAUAUGUAUGUGUGUGUGUGCGUGUGUGUGUGUGUGUGUAUGUGUGUGUGUGUGUGUGUGUGUCAUUCCUGAUAUAGUUACUGAAAUCGGCUGCAGAAAGUCAAAAUUCCCAUGAAUGUUUUGUUUCUCAGAGCAGCUGCAGGAGUGGAGCAGAAACACAAAUGUUGCGUUCAGGUGUUGUUGGGAGGUUCUGCCUCCUGGAGGAAGGAAACAGGAAAGAUCUGAUUUUUCAGGAGGAAGAACACUGUGCAUCAUCAGGAACGUGUGUGUUACAGUGACAAUCUGUCUGCAUGGUUGGAGGGAACAGUGUGUUUUAUGUGUGACUGUAUGUGUGUGUAUGUGUGAGUGUGUGUAAGUGUGUAUGUGUGAGUGUGUGUAAGUGACACUCCAAAGGUAAGGUGUUUAUUUGCAGGAACGGAAAAUGCUAAAAUUAGAAGAUGUUGCUGGACAAUAGUUUGUGUUGUUGUUGGGGCAAAACGUCUCUCCCUCUGUGUGUGUGUGUGUGUGUGUGUGUGUGUGUGUGUGUGUGUGUGUGUGUGUGUGUGUGUGUGUGUGUGUGUGUGUGUGUGUACCCUAACCCGCACACGGAGCAGGAAAAAAACCUCAGGUUUAUGUCAUUUAUAUUUUUCCUUCGGUUGUUUGUUUGUUUGUGUGUGUUUGAUGUUUUGUAACUGAAACACUUUUAAGUUAUUUUUAAUUUUCUCUUCUGUAGAAUAAUAAUUGAACAUUUGGGUUUUACAUUUUAUCGCAUCAACUUCUUUACUUGUUUGUUUCUGGUGUGUUUUGUUUAAAGAUGCCGUCCUCCAGCUGUGUGCUGUGGUUCUGCCUGCUGUCAGUCAUCCUGCUGCAGAACGUCACCGGAGUUCAGCAGAACCCUGCUGAGGUACACACAGGUGCACGCGCCCAUUCAUCCAUCUCCAGUAGUCAAUCAUCGGAGGAUCAGAACUUUUUUGUCGAGUUCUGGUUCUUAUUGAUGUCGUUCAGAGAAGUUCAUUUUGUGUUUAAUGAGGUUACAGAAAAAAGAACAUUCUGCACGUGAAAUUCUCCAGAAAUGGGAAAAAGAACAAACCCAACCACGCCUCCCACUCCACUGAGAAAAAAAGGGUCUUCUGUGGCAAAAAACCACUAAAGUAGAUGGCCUGUAAUUACACAGCGCCAUUCACACGCUCUUCUUUCCCAUAAGUACCAGAAACAGAUGCUGAGGCUGACGGGCUUCAUCCAUCGACAUACAUAUAUGGACAAUGGGUUUCCACAGGCUCCAAUAAGACAUUUUUGAAGAUAAAUGGGAGGUGGCCACCACCGCCAUUUUGACCGUGUCACAGGUUCCGUCAAGCCCAGACAAUUCCACAAAACGGAAGAGAGGUGGAGCUGAGGGUGGGGCUGUAAGGCUGGGAUCAACUGACGACACCCGGUCGAACUAGCUACAAGCUAACCUGAAGCUAACCCAAAGCUAACACAGAGGUGAGAGCUAAGCUAACGGAGGUAGCAACCUAGCUACAACCGGAGUUAGCUGUGCACAACACCAGAGCUUCUGAGUCAGAGAUACGCCGGGCUGACCGCUGGGUAAAACCGGGUGGAAAACAUCGGUCUCCGAGAGCUCCACAAGCCGAUAGUCGGAACCCAGCUCCACCAACAUGUUAUAUUUCAACCCAUUUUCUAAAGUGCAGCAUUAUGUUAAAUGCACUGGGUUUUACCCUAUUUUAUUUAAAUUUCAUGGUUAAACAGUACAUGUUAAAAUCUAAGCUCAGCUCGGCAGUGACCUAAAAUACAUA